AUACGUAGGUGGCAAGCGUUGUCCGGAAUUAUUGGGCGUAAAGCGCGCGCAGGCGGUCCUUUAAGUCUGAUGUGAAAGCCCACGGCUCAACCGUGGAGGGUCAUUGGAAACUGGGGGACUUGAGUGCAGAAGAGGAAAGUGGAAUUCCAAGUGUAGCGGUGAAAUGCGUAGAGAUUUGGAGGAACACCAGUGGCGAAGGCGACUCUCUGGUCUGUAACUGACGCUGAGGCGCGAAAGCGUGGGGAGCAAACAGGAUUAGAUACCCUGGUAGUCCACGCCGUAAACGAUGAGUGCUAAGUGUUAGGGGGUUUCCGCCCCUUAGUGCUGCAGCUAACGCAUUAAGCACUCCGCCUGGGGAGUACGGUCGCAAGACUGAAACUCAAAUGAAUUGACGGGG
RNAcentral lists this ribosomal RNA (397 nucleotides) under uncultured bacterium. Its description in RNAcentral is "partial 16S ribosomal RNA". It matches the Rfam family "Bacterial small subunit ribosomal RNA", at positions 523 to 918 of the family's 1533-position model. The record is from RNAcentral.